Molecule: ribosomal RNA, 301 nt
Filed under: uncultured bacterium
Lineage: Bacteria
Description: partial 16S ribosomal RNA
Rfam family: Bacterial small subunit ribosomal RNA
Source: RNAcentral
CAGUAGCCGCGGUAAUACAGAGGGUGCAAGCGUUAAUCGGAAUUACUGGGCGUAAAGCGCGCGUAGGUGGUUCGCCAAGUUGGAUGUGAAAUCCCCGGGCUCAACCUGGGAACUGCAUCCAAAACUGGCGAGCUAGAGUAUGGUAGAGGGUGGUGGAAUUUCCUGUGUAGCGGUGAAAUGCGUAGAUAUAGGAAGGAACAUCAGUGGCGAAGGCGACUAUCUGGGCCAACACUGACACUGAGGCACGAAAGCGUGGGGAGCAAACAGGAUUAGAUACCCCAGUAGUCCCUGUCUCUUAUAC